RNAcentral lists this ribosomal RNA (84 nucleotides) under Myroides odoratimimus subsp. xuanwuensis. The record is from RNAcentral. Lineage: Bacteria; Pseudomonadati; Bacteroidota; Flavobacteriia; Flavobacteriales; Flavobacteriaceae.
CCUCUUCCCAUUUCGAACAGAGAAGUUAAGCCCGCUAGCGCAGAUGGUACUGCUAACCAGUGGGAGAGUAUGUCGCCGCCUUUC